CCCCUCUCAGGGUCGCACCUGAAGAGUUUCCAGUACUCUGCCGGUCUCGGCUAUGGGAGGGAGAGAAAAGCAGAGGGAUACCCAUCCCAUUCCUAGCUUGGGCAGUGGCUGGCGAGUGGAAGGCAAUGUGCUACAAGU
Molecule: small nucleolar RNA, 138 nt
Organism: Tachyglossus aculeatus (Australian echidna)
Lineage: Eukaryota; Metazoa; Chordata; Mammalia; Monotremata; Tachyglossidae
Source: RefSeq, a predicted model, not a curated record